GUAGUGGUCUCUGAAGGUCAAGAUAACUGAAAUGGAAACUCUUCCUUAGGUGGCCCUGAAUGAAAAGCAACUGCAACACAGGAGUCCAAGAGGCAGAUGCCGCAACAGGUGUCGCGAGCCGGCGACGCAGAGCACUGUCCAGCAGUGUCUCAAACCUGAAAGAGCAGCGGGGUGGAGAUGGGGCAGAGAGAAAGGAAGGACGCCAAGACAAGAGUUUGAUCAAGGCGACGUUUAUUGCAGGCAAGCAUCAGCCUUUUAAAGGCACAUCAACAGGAAACACCUGACUCCUACAGAUCUUUGGCUAUCCGAGUUUCUCCCGUGCAGGGUCAAAAAGCCAGUGGGCCAUGGCUGGCUUCCCACACAAAG
RNAcentral lists this long non-coding RNA (366 nucleotides) under Fukomys damarensis (Damara mole-rat). RNAcentral's name for it is "lncRNA (ENSFDAG00000021947.1)". Lineage: Eukaryota; Metazoa; Chordata; Mammalia; Rodentia; Bathyergidae. The record is from RNAcentral.